UGCCCCUCACUUGCCAAUACGUCUAGAUCAGCCAGGGCAUCGGCAUGUGUAGCGUAUUAUGUUGGGCUCUCUCGAGAUAAGGAUACGAUGUCCCUUUAUCGGUUGGUUUCCUGUGUGCACGGCCCGUUCGGUUUUUUUGUUACUUUCGCAUCGUUCGGUGCAUUCUGGGGGCUGUGUUGGCUUUUGGUGGCUUGCUUGGCCUUUUGGCUUUGCUUGUUGCUACUUGUCGGGCUGCUUUCGGGAAUGUCGACCGUGGAGGUGCAUGAGUGGUGUUGCAUACCUAGUUGAUGGAAAAGUGUGGGUUUUACGAUUUUCAUUUUCGUCUUGCGUCGUUCUUUCGGCGUGGGAUGAACAAUGAAGCGAUCUUUAUGAUCCAUCGUGCUGUUGCGUUUGCAACAAUGAUGUGGCCUAUGAAGCAUCGUUUGGUCUCUUGUAUACGGAAGCUCAUUUGGGCUUGGUUCUUUAUAAGAUCUUCGUUACGCCCUUGUUAAGCGUUCUCGCUUCUCCUAAACGAUUG
Molecule: unclassified non-coding RNA, 517 nt
Filed under: Centaurea argecillensis
Lineage: Eukaryota; Viridiplantae; Streptophyta; Magnoliopsida; Asterales; Asteraceae
Description: partial external transcribed spacer
Source: RNAcentral